CAAUAGCGUAUAUUAAAGUUGUUGCGGUAAAAAAGCUCGUAGUUGGAUUUCUGUUGAGAGCGACCGGUCCAUACCAUGUAUGCGUAUCUGGCUUGCUCUCGGCAUCCUCUCGAUAGACGUUACUGCGCUUGAUUGCGUGGUACGGAUCUCGGGACUUUUACUUUGAGGAAAUUAGAGUGUUCACGGCAGGCUUUCGCCAGAAUACAUUAGCAUGGAAUAAUACUAUAGGAUCUUGGUUCUAUUUUGUUGGUUUCUAGAAUUGAGAUAAUGAUUAAUAGGGACAAUUGGGGGCAUUCGUAUCAACACGUCAGAGGUGGAAUUCUUGGAUUGUGUUGCGACGAACUACUGCGAAAGCAUCUGCCAAGGAUGUUUUCAUUGA
RNAcentral lists this ribosomal RNA (379 nucleotides) under uncultured eukaryote. Its description in RNAcentral is "partial 18S ribosomal RNA". It matches the Rfam family "Eukaryotic small subunit ribosomal RNA", at positions 592 to 976 of the family's 1831-position model. The record is from RNAcentral.